AUUCAGAAAUAAAACAUUGUUUUAUGUGAAUGCUGAGGUUAAUAGACAGAAUACUCCAUACUGGUCAAAGCAAUCCACAUUGGGCGGACCAUUCCAAACAGCAAGGAGCGCAAAAAAUUACAUGUUGUGGUG
Molecule: long non-coding RNA, 132 nt
Organism: Sphaeramia orbicularis (orbiculate cardinalfish)
Lineage: Eukaryota; Metazoa; Chordata; Actinopteri; Kurtiformes; Apogonidae
Exons: 4
Source: RefSeq, a predicted model, not a curated record